CUUCCAAACAACUCAACUUUGGUUUCAUCUGUCCACAGAAUAUUUUGCCAGUACUACUGUGGAACAUCCAGAUGCUCUUGUGCAAACUGUAAACGUGCAGCAAUGUUUUGUUUGGACAUUAGUGGCUUCCUCUGUGGUUUCCUCCCAUGAAAUCCAUUCUUGUUUAGUGUUUUACGUAUUGUAGUUACGGGAUGUUAGCAUUUGCCAGUGACUUUUGUAAGUCUUUAGCUGACACUCUAGGAUUCUUCUUCACCUCAUUGAGCAGUCUGCGCUGUGCUCUUGCAGUCAUCUUUACAGGAUGGCCACUCCUAGGGAGAGUAGCAGCAGUGCUGAACUUUCUCCAUUUAUAGACAAUUUGUCUUACUGUGGACUGAUGAACAGCAAUGCUUUUGGAGAUACUUUUAUAACCCUUUCCAGCAUUAUGCAAGUCAACAAUUCUUAAUCGUAGGUCUUCUGAGAGCUCUU
This 465-nucleotide long non-coding RNA is filed under the name Pelobates cultripes (western spadefoot toad). The record is from RNAcentral. Lineage: Eukaryota; Metazoa; Chordata; Amphibia; Anura; Pelobatidae.